GACAGAGGUGCCGAGCGUUAGGCGGAAUCACUGGGCUUAAAGCGUGUGUAGGCGGGCCGUUAAGUGUCUUGUGAAAUCCCCCCGGCUCAACCGGGGAAUUGCUGGGCAUACUGGCGGUCUUGAGCAAUCUAGGGGCAGAUGGAACAAGUGGUGGAGCGGUGAAAUGCGCAGAUAUCAGGAGGAACACCCGUGGCGAAGGCGGGUCUCUGGGCCGAUAUUGACGCUGAGGAGCGAAAGCGUGGGGAGCGAACAGG
This 254-nucleotide ribosomal RNA is filed under the name uncultured bacterium. RNAcentral's name for it is "partial 16S ribosomal RNA". It matches the Rfam family "Bacterial small subunit ribosomal RNA", at positions 524 to 776 of the family's 1533-position model. The record is from RNAcentral.